Molecule: ribosomal RNA, 450 nt
Filed under: uncultured bacterium
Lineage: Bacteria
Description: partial 16S ribosomal RNA
Rfam family: Bacterial small subunit ribosomal RNA
Source: RNAcentral
GUUAGGAAUAUUGGACAAUGGGCGAAAGCCUGAUCCAGCCAUGCCGCGUGUGUGAAGAAGGUCUUCGGAUUGUAAAGCACUUUAAGUUGGGAGGAAGGGCAGUAAGUUAAUACCUUGCUGUUUUGACGUUACCGACAGAAUAAGCACCGGCUAACUUCGUGCCAGCAGCCGCGGUAAUACGAAGGGUGCAAGCGUUAAUCGGAAUUACUGGGCGUAAAGCGCGCGUAGGUGGUUUUGUAAGUUGGAGGUGAAAUCCCCGGGCUCAACCUGCGAACUGCCUCCAAAACUGCAUGACUGGAGUACGGUAGAGGGUAGUGGAAUUUCCUGUGUAGCGGUGAAAUGCGUAGAUAUAGGAAGGAACACCAGUGGCGAAGGCGACUACCUGGACUGAUACUGACACUGAGGUGCGAAAGCGUGGGGAGCAAACAGGAUUAGAAACCCGGGUAGUCC